UACGAAGGGGGCUAGCGUUGCUCGGAUUGACUGGGCGUAAAGGGCGCGUAGGCGGUUCGUACAGUCAGACGUGAAAUUCCUGGGCUCAACCUGGGGGCUGCGUUUGAUACGUGCGGACUUGAGUGCGGAAGAGGGUCGUGGAAUUCCCAGUGUAGAGGUGAAAUUCGUAGAUAUUGGGAAGAACACCGGUGGCGAAGGCGGGUCUCUGGGCCACUACUGACGCUGAGGAGCGAAAGCGUGGGGAGCGAACAGG
RNAcentral lists this ribosomal RNA (253 nucleotides) under uncultured bacterium. Its description in RNAcentral is "partial 16S ribosomal RNA". It matches the Rfam family "Bacterial small subunit ribosomal RNA", at positions 524 to 776 of the family's 1533-position model. The record is from RNAcentral.